RNAcentral lists this small RNA (453 nucleotides) under Pongo abelii (Sumatran orangutan). RNAcentral describes it as "retained intron". Lineage: Eukaryota; Metazoa; Chordata; Mammalia; Primates; Hominidae. The record is from RNAcentral.
UUUAAUAGCAGCAGCUCGCUACUGCAUGUGAUGAUGAUACCACUUCACUGUUACGAGACUGUUAUUUGUUGGAAGAAAAGGAACGCCUCAAAGAAGAAUGGUCCCUUUUUAAAGAGCAGAAAAAGAAUUUUGAGAGGGAGAGACGAAGCUUUACAGAAGCCGCUAUUCGCCUGGGAUUGGAGAUUGGCUUUCUCCUGCUAAGUGUUUUACACAAGAAAUCUCUUUUGGGUAUCCAUCAUUCAUCCACUGUCAGUAGGUGUGGUGUCAGAAGACAGUGCAACCAAGACUACAUUUGCUGUUUAAAAAGGAAGUAUAAUAAAAAAUUAAGUUCUCUUCUCCCCAGUCCAUCAUUGUUAUAUAUUCGCUCUAUAGCGUGCUUUUUUUACUUAGCAAUGUGUCAUCUACAUAGUCCCCCUUCAAAAAUUGUAGCAGUAAUGUCUGAAUAAGGUUAAA